Non-coding RNA from Sturnus vulgaris (Common starling), 976 nucleotides. The record is from RefSeq and is a predicted model, not a curated record. Lineage: Eukaryota; Metazoa; Chordata; Aves; Passeriformes; Sturnidae.
CUGUCAAUGCCUGCUCCUCACACCAAAAGGGUGACUUUUUCAUCACUAACUUCCUUUAAAUGUUUUGUAGGGAUGCCUGAAUCUCUGGACAGAGAGGUCACCCAGCACAGAAAGCCAGCACCCAUGGCACAGCAGGCAGAGGCUUUGCAGAUUGUUCUGGGCAGCCCUGAGGUGGAUCCCACUUACUGGAACCCCUUGAUUUGGAGACCAGCACUCAAGGUUAACAUGAGCCCUUGAUCUGUUCAAUCCCAGCCUUUGGGAGUUACCAGACUCUGGUAUUGAAUGGAGAAGAAGAUGGAAUAUUAUCCAGGAUUUCCUAAGCAAGUCCAUCUGUAUUUCAGGUGUUUUUGGCUGAGUGGUGAGAAGUGACAGUGAGCACUCUGUGCAUUCAAAGUGGGACAGGAGCAUCCCUUGGUAGCAGAGACUGUUCUGACUGCUUCACAAAACCUGAGGAAAAAGCUGCUGGAAAGAUCUCUGAUCCUCCCCAUGAAGGCAGUUAUAUCAUUUGGACAUCCAAGCUGUUUAGCAUGUUGCAUACAUUCAAUCUCUGAAUUUCAAAAUUUCACCUGUAAAUGUUUGGCAAGGAGGGGCUGUGCACACCUGGAAGCAAAAACACCAGAGCUGCUGGGAGACAAAGGCAAAGAGAGAAAGCAAAAGGCUGAGGUGAUGGUGAAGCAGCAGAGACAGCCCCAUCCUGGCAUGCCAGUAGGCAAGUCAAUAAUUGAAAUAGUAUUUGCUGUCAAAUUUCCAUGUUUUCAUAGUGUCUCUCACAAAAAAACACUGCACAUUAUGAUGCUAUAAAUCCUUAUUAUCUACGUCUUCACAACCAGAAGCUUCCCAUUACCCAAUAGAAGGGUGAAUCCCAUGAGACACAUUAAUGGCAUUAAAAACUCCUCCUGUUAUCUUAAACCUUGAUUAAUCAACCUUAUUUAGUACAUGAUAGUGGGAUAAUUGAAGCUGUCCCUGUAUUUUUUUU